AGAGGCCUCUCGAGGCAGGGCUAGAAGCGGUGGCCUCACCCUUGAGGCCCGGGCACUUCCCGUCUCCUCCCUUGUUCCCCUUCCUCACCCCAAUCCCUACAGCCUCCCGCGCAGCCUGAGCUCUAGGAUUGUGGGUUUUCCAUCCUCCGAAGACAUCACCUUUGCUCAUCUCCCAGGAGAGUCUCAUCCAAAGGAGGGGGGUGCUUUCUGCUUCAGCAGAUCCCACCCCACCCUGGGAUCCGAGGGAGCAAUGGUGGGGCGAGUGAGGGUCUGCCGCAAAUAUCCCCCGACCACCCUCAGGGAAGGCGCUAGAGGCCACAGGCAAAUUUCAGUUUCCCCAUGGAAUAUCUGCUGUGCUGCUGCUGCUGCUGCUGGUGAACUCUUAGGGUCACCUGCAGCACCUUGGGAGCCAGAGAUGCAGCCAAAGAGUGAAAAAUGGUACCAAUCCCAAGACCCAUGUGUUAGGAAGAAACCAGCCAAGACUCAGAUCAGGAUUGGGGAGUCCACCCCUCGUUUCCCUUCAGAGCAUUAUUUCCUUGUUUGCUAAGAGGGGCAGGAACUGGAAAACUCAGGCUAGCCCAUCUGAGAAGACUUUCUUGGAGAAGAGCUGGAGGAGGGAGGAGUAAGGCCUUGGAAAGAAACUCCAGGACAGCACCACCUCCCCUACACUGGGACCUCGUCUCUAACUGGCAGAGUGGUCAAUGAAAAAAAGGGCAUGCCUUGGCACAUCAUGGUCAAACUGCUAAAAGCCAAAGACAAAGAGAAAAUCUUUUCUUUUUUUUUCAAUCCCAUCCUAAAGACUAGACAGAACAAUAUUUUCAAUGUCACUGUUUUCUCAUCAAAAGCCAUAUAGACGAGAAGGCAGUGGAAUAUCUCUAAAAUACUGAAGGAAAAAAAAGUCAACUCAGAAUUGUUUUUCUAGUGAAAGUAUUCUUCCAGAAUGAAGAUGAAAUAAAGCUAUUUUCAGAUAAAAGAAAACAGAGAUUCUUGUCACCAGCAGACCUCCACUAUGGGAAGCGCUUAGGACAGGCACGACAGCUCCCGCCUAUAAUCCCAGCAUUUUGGGAGGCCAAAGUGGGAGGAUUGCUUGAGCUCGGAAGAUGGAGGCUGCAGUGAGCCAUGAUGGUACCACCGCACUCCGGCUUGGAUGACAGAAUGAGACCCUGUCUCAAAUUGGAAGAGCAGAGCUGCAGACAGGAAUAAAAAGAAUGGUAAAUUUGGAGAUGGGACCAUCUAGUUGCAAGAAAACAAGCUCAGAGCUCCUGCUGAUUGUACAUUAUGGGCUGUGGGCUCCUUGAGGGAGGAAAUUUGUCCUGCAGGUUGUGGCAGCCCUAGGACUGAGCACAUCUAGGUGUCCACCUGUGUCUGUGGAAGAAGAAGAGGAGGAGGAGGAGGAAGAAGAAGAAGAAGAAAGAUGGUGAGAUAUCCUUCAGGAGACCAGGGCCAGGAGGGUGGAGGCCUCUCAAGAAGAGGGAAGCAGGAGGAAGCUCCAGGGCAGGAUGGUUAUACCGCCUGGACAGCAAGAUGAUGGCUACAUUAGCCCCCAUUCUCUGGGCGCCUGGAUUUGCCCACCAGAUCUCCUCACCUCUUGCCGUUCACCUCCUGCUGUACAUACAAGGUCUCCCCGAUUCUCAUCUGCCCAUAAUCAUGGACGCAGCCCCAGGAUGUGCAGGGUGAGUCCCCAGGGACCCUGACAGCAUGGGUACUGUCAUGACUGAGGGUGUUACACCAGGGAGAGGGAGCCGGGGAGACUUCCCAGAGAGCUGGUUGGGGGUUAUGAAAGUGGCCUCACGGCUCUUGCUGUGGCUAAUGCUGUGUGGCUCAUGCUGUGGCUCACACCUGUAAUCCCAGCACUUGGGGAGGCUGAGGCGGGCAGAUUGCUUGAGGUCAGGAGUUCGAGAUCAGCCUGGCCAACAUGGUGAAACCCAGUCUCUACUAAAAAUACAAAAAAACUACGUGGGUCUGGUGGCACGCGCCUGUAGUCCCAGCUACUCAGGAGGCUGAGGCACGAGAAUCACUUGAACCUGGGAGGCGGAGGCUUCAGUGAGCCGAGAUUGCACCACUGCACUCCAGCCUGGGCAGCAGAGCAAGAUUCUGUCUC
Molecule: non-coding RNA, 2101 nt
Filed under: Pongo abelii (Sumatran orangutan)
Lineage: Eukaryota; Metazoa; Chordata; Mammalia; Primates; Hominidae
Source: RNAcentral